Molecule: long non-coding RNA, 906 nt
Filed under: Homo sapiens (human)
Lineage: Eukaryota; Metazoa; Chordata; Mammalia; Primates; Hominidae
Description: HSALNT0262854
Source: RNAcentral
CUUACAUCUACCGGGUGUGGGAACUCACCCAGCGCAUCCGACUGCACAAUGAAAAAAAGUAGUUUUCCUUUACAAUGAGGCUUGGCCCCCAGGGCGAUGGUGCCACAAGCCAGAUCACUGGGACCACUCAGAGAAAGGGAACACAGAAGCCUGGCAUGCCAGCAAAAAGGGUUUUUGUGAGCAGUGUCUUGCACCAAACUCCUGUCUCCUCCUGUGACUUAGAAUGCCUAACUUCCUGGGAAUGCAGCACAGGUCUCAGCCUCAUUUUGCCCAGCCCCUAUUCAAGACGGAUUUGCUGUGGUUCAAAUGCUUCUGACAAUAUUCCUCAUGGUGAAUGCUGGAUUUUGCAUGCCCGAGGCCCUGGGCCACACUGUAUGUUUGCUUUUUGCAAGGGCUGUAUGGCUAUGACUAGUUAUGUGGACCCUGCAUUCCUAUGUAAAUGACCCUCCAUAAAAACCCCAGAAAUGAAUGCUUGAGUGAACUUCCCUGGCUUGUAUUAUAAUACUGUGAACAUCUUGUCACACAUCUUUGCUGGGGGAAUUAAGUGUGUCCCUAUGUGACCGUAAUGGGAGAUAACACCCAGAGUUUUGUGCCUGCUUUCAUGUGGACUUCAUUCUAUGUGAUUUUUCCCUUUGGUGAUCCUGGUCUAUAUCCUUUUAUUGUAAUAAACUAUAACCAUAACAGCUUUUCUGAGUCUUGUGUGUACUUCUAGCAAAUCAUGAAGCCUGAGGUAAGUAACCUAAAAUAUCAAGAUGAUUAAGGCCAUUCAUCCACGUAUCCAUUUAGCAGAUAUCUGAAUAUCUACUACUGACUAGGAACUAUGUGCAUGGAACAAUUAGGAUAAAAUCCAUAUUAACAUCUGUGCUCUUUUGAAGCUGGAAAUCUAGUUGGUGAGACAGUCAGGAG